This 380-nucleotide ribosomal RNA is filed under the name uncultured bacterium. RNAcentral's name for it is "bacterial SSU rRNA". It matches the Rfam family "Bacterial small subunit ribosomal RNA", at positions 524 to 906 of the family's 1533-position model. The record is from RNAcentral.
UACGUAGGGUGCAAGCGUUGUCCGGAUUUAUUGGGUUUAAAGGGUGCGUAGGCGGUCUAUUAAGUCAGUGGUGAAAUCCAACAGCUCAACUGUUGAUGUGCCAAUGAUACUGAUGGACUUGAGUACAGACGAGGUAGGCGGAAUUGACAGUGUAGCGGUGAAAUGCAUAGAUAUUGUCAAGAACACCGAUAGCGAAGGCAGCUUGCUAGCCUGUAACUGACGCUGAGGCACGAAAGUAUGGGGAUCAAACAGGAUUAGAUACCCUGGUAGUCCAUACAGUAAACGAUGAUUACUCGAUGUUGGCGAUACACAGUCAGCGUCUUAGCGAAAGCGAUAAGUAAUCCACCUGGGGAGUACGCCGGCAACGGUGAAACUCAAAG